Molecule: ribosomal RNA, 742 nt
Filed under: Segatella salivae
Lineage: Bacteria; Pseudomonadati; Bacteroidota; Bacteroidia; Bacteroidales; Prevotellaceae
Description: bacterial SSU rRNA
Rfam family: Bacterial small subunit ribosomal RNA
Source: RNAcentral
ACAAUGGAGAGUUUGAUCCUGGCUCAGGAUGAACGCUAGCUACAGGCUUAACACAUGCAAGUCGAGGGGAAACGACAUUGAAGCUUGCUUCGAUGGGCGUCGACCGGCGCACGGGUGAGUAACGCGUAUCCAACCUGCCUCUGACUAAGGGAUAACCCGGCGAAAGUCGGACUAAUACCUUAUGAGGUUUUCAGCAGACAUCUAACGAAAACGAAAGAUUUAUCGGUCAGUGAUGGGGAUGCGUCUGAUUAGCUUGUUGGCGGGGUAACGGCCCACCAAGGCAACGAUCAGUAGGGGUUCUGAGAGGAAGGUCCCCCACAUUGGAACUGAGACACGGUCCAAACUCCUACGGGAGGCAGCAGUGAGGAAUAUUGGUCAAUGGGCGAGAGCCUGAACCAGCCAAGUAGCGUGCAGGAUGACGGCCCUAUGGGUUGUAAACUGCUUUUAUGUGGGGAUAAAGUGAGCUACGUGUAGUUUAUUGCAGGUACCACAUGAAUAAGGACCGGCUAAUUCCGUGCCAGCAGCCGCGGUAAUACGGAAGGUCCAGGCGUUAUCCGGAUUUAUUGGGUUUAAAGGGAGCGUAGGCCGUGGAUUAAGCGUGUUGUGAAAUGUAGACGCUCAACGUCUGAAUUGCAGCGCGAACUGGUUCACUUGAGUAUGCACAACGUAGGCGGAAUUCGUCGUGUAGCGGUGAAAUGCUUAGAUAUGACGAAGAACUCCGAUUGCGAAGGCAGCUUACGGG